RNAcentral lists this ribosomal RNA (1220 nucleotides) under metagenome. RNAcentral's name for it is "bacterial SSU rRNA". It matches the Rfam family "Bacterial small subunit ribosomal RNA", at positions 8 to 1220 of the family's 1533-position model. The record is from RNAcentral.
AGAGUUUGAUCCUGGCUCAGGAUGAACGCUAGCUACAGGCUUAACACAUGCAAGUCGAGGGGAAACGAUAUUGGAAGCUUGCUUCCGAUAGGCGUCGACCGGCGCACGGGUGAGUAACGCGUAUCCAACCUGCCCAUCACUUGGGGAUAACCUUGCGAAAGUAAGACUAAUACCCAAUGACGUCUCUAGAAGACAUCUGAAGGAGAUUAAAGAUUUAUCGGUGAUGGAUGGGGAUGCGUCUGAUUAGCUUGUUGGCGGGGUAACGGCCCACCAAGGCAACGAUCAGUAGGGGUUCUGAGAGGAAGGUCCCCCACAUUGGAACUGAGACACGGUCCAAACUCCUACGGGAGGCAGCAGUGAGGAAUAUUGGUCAAUGGGCGAGAGCCUGAACCAGCCAAGUAGCGUGCAGGAAGACGGCCCUAUGGGUUGUAAACUGCUUUUAUAAGGGAAUAAAGUGAGUCUCGUGAGACUUUUUGCAUGUACCUUAUGAAUAAGGACCGGCUAAUUCCGUGCCAGCAGCCGCGGUAAUACGGAAGGUCCGGGCGUUAUCCGGAUUUAUUGGGUUUAAAGGGAGCGUAGGCCGGAGAUUAAGCGUGUUGUGAAAUGUAGACGCUCAACGUCUGCACUGCAGCGUGAACUGGUCUCCUUGAGUACGCACAAAGUGGGCGGAAUUCGUGGUGUAGCGGUGAAAUGCUUAGAUAUCACGAAGAACUCCGAUUGCGAAGGCAGCUCACUGGAGCGCAACUGACGCUGAAGCUCGAAAGUGCGGGUAUCGAACAGGAUUAGAUACCCUGGUAGUCCGCACGGUAAACGAUGGAUGCCCGCUGUUGGUCUGAACAGGUCAGCGGCCAAGCGAAAGCAUUAAGCAUCCCACCUGGGGAGUACGCCGGCAACGGUGAAACUCAAAGGAAUUGACGGGGCCCGCACAAGCGGAGGAACAUGUGGUUUAAUUCGAUGAUACGCGAGGAACCUUACCCGGGCUUGAAUUGCAGAGGAAGGAUUUGGAGACAAUGACGCCCUUCGGGGUCUCUGUGAAGGUGCUGCAUGGUUGUCGUCAGCUCGUGCCGUGAGGUGUCGGCUUAAGUGCCAUAACGAGCGCAACCCCUCUCCUUAGUUGCCAUCAGGUUAAGCUGGGCACUCUGGGGACACUGCCACCGUAAGGUGUGAGGAAGGUGGGGAUGACGUCAAAUCAGCACGGCCCUUACGUCCGGGGCUACACA